RNAcentral lists this long non-coding RNA (3095 nucleotides) under Octopus sinensis (East Asian common octopus). RNAcentral's name for it is "uncharacterized LOC118765169". Lineage: Eukaryota; Metazoa; Mollusca; Cephalopoda; Octopoda; Octopodidae. The record is from RNAcentral.
UAUAUAUACACACACACACAUAGAUGUUUUGUGUUUGUAUAUAUAUAUAUCAUAGUAUAUAUAUUGUAUGCAUAUUCUUCACACACACAUAUCAUAUAUUAUAUCAAGGGAGAAUUCUGGUGCAGAAAAACCAGAGGAUGCAGUCUUCAAAAAUCAAGCUAUAUAAUUGAAUUUUCUAGCUGUGUCUCAUAAAAAUGAACAACUUCACCUGAAAUCUGAUUUGUAUUUGCAUAUGUUUGUGUGUGUAUAUAAUAUGUAUUAUAUACAUGCAUAAUAUAUUAUAUAUAUAUAUAUAUAUAUAUAUAUAUAUAUUAUAUGUAUAUCAUAGAUAUAUCAUGCAAGCACAUAUAUGAUAUAAAUACAAACACACACACACAAAAGCAUAUAUACAUAUUCUUAAUAAUUUUCCCAUUUCUCUAAUUCUUAUAAAAGUUGGCAUAUUAUUUCUCAUUCUGUUUACUUUCUUGAAAAGAUGCUUUUACUAUUGUAUGUAAGUGUAGAUGAUUUUCCCCUUCAAUUAAUUUUGGCACAAAUUUAGAAUACUAAAUUUCCUGUAAUUUAAGAAUCUCAUCUAAUUCUCUCUCAAUUGUAAUUUUUAUUUCAUUAUUGGUUUAUUAAAUAGAUAAAUUUGUAACACUAUUCAUACCUACACAUUCUCUUAUACACCUAUACAUUGCCCACUGUCACAUUUGCAGGAACACACUCACACAGUAUAUUAUUUUACUCAGCAUUUAUUUUAUAUGCUCUUAUAAACAUUAUAUUUAAUUCUGUCAAGCCUAGCUAAAUUAAAAAUCUGUGUUUUCCCUGUCCUUUUUUUCUCCUGCUUACCAUAAUCAAUAAAGGAUUGAUUUCUCAUAUAUCUUUAAUGUAAGAUAAGGUAAGAUUAUUUUUAAUCUUAUCGAAUUAUCAAACCAAUAAUGCAGUUAUGCUGAGAAAGAAAUUUCAAAUUUAGUAUUACAACAUUCUUUUAACGAUAAACUUUAUUUCCUUUUUGCAGUUAUUUUUAUUAACUUAUGUAAUUUGUUUAAUUUCAGAAUGCUGCAGAUUUUAUGUAUUAUUCAAAUAGUUGUGUUAUUAAAAGGAAUCAAAUAAUUGAUCCUUCAUUAUAUACAAUAUAUGUAAUGUUUUUUGAAGCUCCAUGUGUAUAAAAGACUGGUUGUUAAUGUGUCAGUCCAUCAAAAGGAUUCAUAUAACAUGAAUUUUGAUUAAUUUUAAACUCAUUCAUCAGCCAAGAGACCUGCUAACAAUAUAUUAUGCCAUUUGGUCCCCAAAGUGGUCUUACAUUUAAUUCUUUGGCAUUCACGUUACUCUGUCAAAAGUAAUGCUUAUUUAUUCACAUUGUUUUGAAUUAAACAUGCAUUAUUUUGUAGCUUUUGAAAUUUUGAUGAGUUAACUGUUAAUUUUUACAAUGAUAUUAUAGGGUUGGUGUGAGAGGCUGGUUCUAGCCAGUUUGGGCACAAAACAGGUAGAAUAUUUUGGCGGGUUAUGGCCAGUUUAAAUGCUAAAGAGUUAAUAGCAUUCUUGAUUUGGCUUUCUGAAAAUAAAAGCCACAUUUUGUCUACUUUAUACAAAUUGUUAAAUAGUUCUGUAUUUACUACCUCUACCUUCUUUUAUUAUUUAUAAUGAAUAUCAGACAAUAAAAAUAUUUUAUUUUAAAUUUUUAUAAAUAUUUAUUUCCAAGAAUAACUAACUGCAAGAUGAAUCAUGCUAACUUAACCACAGUUGGUUAUUGUUAACAAUGGUUACAUGAGGAGGAAGAUUUGUCUAAACUAUACUUUCUAGAGUGGAAACUAAUUUGUAAGUCCAGUCCUAGCUUGUAAAUUAUAUUUUCUUCUUUUGUGAAGCAAAAUGAUCCAGCAUUAAAUUAAUGAUAUAAAAAUGUAUAUAACCACCUGCUGGUGGUAAGUGGGGGGUGAGCAAACUAUAUCAUCCUAACAUUUAAGUUUACUCCAAGAAAUAUUAUUUCUUUAAAGAAAAUAAAACAGUUUGUAGAUAUUUCAAUAUUUUGCUGAUGCUUUUUUCCCCUCCUUUAAGAGAUACAGUAGCUGUGACUAAAGAGACUUGUCAGUCCACCUCAUGGUCCCAGCAGACAAAUUGGAAAAGGUGUUGCCCUGGAAGAUGGCAAGGGAGGUGUACUGAAACAAUUACUCUGACUCACAGGGCUCACACUUGAGGAUAGCCAUCUCUGCCCCAACAGCAGUGAGAAGGGACAUAAUUGGGGGGGGGGGACAAAGGGCAAGAAUGCUGAGGUCUAUUUCAGUAUCAGAUAUUUGGUUUUCAAACUAUUUAUAUUUCAUUCUGCACAUUUUAAGUGAGUUGAAUACAAUGAGCAAAGGAAUGAAACCCUUUGUAGACCUGAAAAUAUGGCAGUAAAGGAAUUAUAUUAGAAGAAAAGGCAUUGAAGCUAUUUUUUUAUUUUUGCUUUUAAGAGUCCAUUAAUAACUUCUGUUGUAUGUCUUGUUUUUUCAUUUUAAUUUCAUCUCUUCAUAGAUAAGUAGUGUGAGGGAGUGUCAACUGAGCUGUUAAGAGUUUAUAUGUCCUGGGUUAGUUCACCAAACAGUAACUCAGUUGUACCCAGCUGCUUUUGUAUGUGUGCUUAAACACACUCAUAGAUUAAAACUGGAGAUGUAUUCAGCAUCAAAAAUGGAUGAUAAAUAUAUGUCUAUUUGUGUGUGUAUGUCUGUGUGUGUGUGUGUGUGUAUGUAUGUUUUUAUAUAAUGUCUCUUUAUGUCUUUAUUCCCCACCCACAUAUUUGCUGCAAUGUUUUUAAAAUUAAUUUUGGAAAUUUCCUCUGUGUAUUUUAUACCCUGAAAAGGACUACAGCUGGUCAUAGGGCAUAAAUAAGGUGCAUACAAUGUCGUACGGAAGGUAAAUGGUAUGCAAUCUGAAAAAAAAAAAAAACUUACAAAGAUGGAAAGUAUUCUUUUAAAAAGACAAUUCCUAGAUAGUUCCUUCCUAUUGCCCCUAUCUCAGUUUGAACCAAUUCCUUAGGCAAGAUUUCCAUUCUGUAUUUCUUUCUCUGCUAAUAUACUUUAUUGUUGUCUGUCUGGAUCUUGCUUUGAAGAGUUAAUAAAUUUAAAUAUCAUGAAACAGUU